AAGGCAUGUUGAGGACACUUCCUAAUGAGUUCUUUAAAUCUUUCCCAUGACUCAUAAAUAAAUUCAUCAUCUAACUAGGUAAAUAAGAUGAUAUCAUUUCUUACCAA
Small nucleolar RNA from Dendrobium catenatum, 107 nucleotides. NCBI's taxonomy places the organism in Eukaryota, Viridiplantae, Streptophyta, Magnoliopsida, Asparagales, Orchidaceae. The record is from RefSeq and is a predicted model, not a curated record.